Molecule: ribosomal RNA, 435 nt
Filed under: uncultured bacterium
Lineage: Bacteria
Description: partial 16S ribosomal RNA
Rfam family: Bacterial small subunit ribosomal RNA
Source: RNAcentral
AGCGAACGCUGGCGGCAGGCUUAACACAUGCAAGUCGAGCGGGCACUUUCGGGUGUCAGCGGCGGACGGGUGAGUAACGCGUGGGAACGUGCCCUCUGGUUCGGAAUAACUCAGGGAAACUUGAGCUAAUACCGGAUACGCCCUUUUGGGGAAAGGCUUGCUGCCGGAGGAUCGGCCCGCGUCUGAUUAGCUAGCUGGUGAGGUAACGGCUCACCAAGGCGACGAUCAGUAGCUGGUCUGAGAGGAUGAUCAGCCACACUGGGACUGAGACACGGCCCAGACUCCUACGGGAGGCAGCAGUGGGGAAUAUUGGACAAUGGGCGCAAGCCUGAUCCAGCCAUGCCGCGUGAGUGAUGAAGGCCUUAGGGUUGUAAAGCUCUUUUAUCCGGGACGAUAAUGACGGUACCGGAGGAAUAAGCCCCGGCUAACUUCGUG